AGGUGCUUGAAGAACCCCAACUUGGUGUUGAGGAAGUUCAUGGGCAGAAACAUGAUUCAUAGACAAAAGCAGACCAGGUUUGAAACUUGUCUAGCUAGGCUUGUAAAGUUGUGGAGGGCUAAAGGUGUUCCAAAAACUGAAUGAGAAGCAAACUACAGCACUUCCCGUGGUGACAUGUCAGAGGCCAAAGAGGGCUGUCUAUCAAAAUGCAUGACAGAUUAGUUUAUUAUCUGUUACGCUUUGAGUGGGAAGGCUUGGGAUCUUAUGCAUCAGCACUGGUUAAUCCGAUCCAGUUGUUUCUUGAGUAGAUCCAAAUUGAAAAACCAAUAGAAGUAUUUGCACCAAAAGAUGUGGAGUAUUUGGUGGACUAUUGAAGUACAGUGACAACGAAUCCAUAUUUCCUAAAAUGCUUGCCAAUCUGUUUCUUGGAGCUAUAUAUGAGCAUUCAUGUAGCCAAUGGAGCCGCCAAGUGUUGCUAUCAAGUAUUUGUUUGGGAAGAUUGAAGAGGUGCUUGGGCUAGGCUGCCAUUGCUUGCCUUGGUUUUUUCCCACUCAUCCUGUUGGAUUUCUACCAUUGAGACAUCGGAUGUCAAGUUUGAAAACCAAUACAAAGUUUCCUAUUUUUCUUCAUCAGUUUACCUAGUCUAUAUCAUCAUUUAACAACAAUGGUUAUAGUGAUAAACGUUCUGCCACUACUUUUCUUUUGCAUCGAUGUGGUUUAUAAUGCUUCAAUGCUUUUACUUAUGAAAAAGUUGGAAAAUUUCAUGU
Nymphaea colorata (pocket water lily) is the source of this 767-nucleotide long non-coding RNA. RefSeq lists it as uncharacterized. The record is from RefSeq and is a predicted model, not a curated record. The transcript is spliced from 5 exons. Lineage: Eukaryota; Viridiplantae; Streptophyta; Magnoliopsida; Nymphaeales; Nymphaeaceae.